This 990-nucleotide ribosomal RNA is filed under the name human gut metagenome. RNAcentral describes it as "bacterial LSU rRNA". It matches the Rfam family "Bacterial large subunit ribosomal RNA", at positions 1934 to 2925 of the family's 2925-position model. The record is from RNAcentral.
CCGUAACUAUAACGGUCCUAAGGUAGCGAAAUUCCUUGUCGGGUAAGUUCCGACCCGCACGAAAGGCGUAAUGAUUUGAGCGCUGUCUCGACAAUGCACCCGGUGAAAUUGAAAUACCAGUGAAGAUGCUGGUUACCUGCGCCAGGACGGAAAGACCCCAUGGAGCUUUACUCCAGUCUGGUACUGGGACUCGGUAUUGCAUGUACAGGAUAGGUGGGAGGCUAGGAGAUGGUAACGCCAGUUGCCAUGGAGCCGCUGUUGGGAUACCACCCUUGCAGUAUUGGGUUUCUAACCAGCCGCCGUGACCCGGCGGUGGGACAAUGCCAGACGGGGAGUUUGACUGGGGCGGUCGCCUCCGAAAGGGUAUCGGAGGCGCUCAAAGGUUCCCUCAGAAUGGUUGGAAACCAUUCGAAGAGUGCAAAGGCAGAAGGGAGCUUGACUGUGACACCGACGGGUGGAGCAGGUACGAAAGUAGGACUUAGUGAUCCGGUGGUAUAAAGUGGGAUUGCCAUCGCUCAACGGAUAAAAGCUACCCUGGGGAUAACAGGCUUAUCACUCCCAAGAGUUCACAUCGACGGAGUGGUUUGGCACCUCGAUGUCGGCUCAUCGCAUCCUGGGGCUGUAGUAGGUCCCAAGGGUUGGGCUGUUCGCCCAUUAAAGCGGUACGCGAGCUGGGUUCAGAACGUCGUGAGACAGUUCGGUCCCUAUCCGGCGUGGGCGUAGGAUAUCUGAGAGGAGCUGUCCUUAGUACGAGAGGACCGGGAUGGACGGGCCGCUGGUGCAUCGGUUAGACUGCCAAGUCUACGGCCGAGUAGCCAAGCCCGGAAGGGAUAAACGCUGAAGGCAUCUAAGCGUGAAGCCCCCCUUAAGAUGAGAUAUCCCAUUCGAAAGAAGUAAACCCCCUUGAAGACGACGAGGUAGAUAGGGCAGAGGUGGAAGUGCAGUAAUGCAUGGAGCUGACUGUUACUAAUCGAUCGAGGGCUUGACCAA